ACUCGGGUGGCGAAAUUGGUAGACGCACCAGCUUGAGGGGCUGGCGCCCUUACGGGUGUGGGAGUUCGAAUCUCCUCUCGAGUA
RNAcentral lists this transfer RNA (84 nucleotides) under Pedobacter agri. RNAcentral describes it as "tRNA-Leu". It matches the Rfam family "tRNA". From Rfam's summary of the family: Transfer RNA (tRNA) molecules are approximately 80 nucleotides in length. Their secondary structure includes four short double-helical elements and three loops (D, anti-codon, and T loops). The record is from RNAcentral. Lineage: Bacteria; Pseudomonadati; Bacteroidota; Sphingobacteriia; Sphingobacteriales; Sphingobacteriaceae.